RNAcentral lists this ribosomal RNA (253 nucleotides) under uncultured bacterium. Its description in RNAcentral is "partial 16S ribosomal RNA". It matches the Rfam family "Bacterial small subunit ribosomal RNA", at positions 524 to 776 of the family's 1533-position model. The record is from RNAcentral.
UACGUAGGGUGCGAGCGUUAAUCGGAAUUACUGGGCGUAAAGUGUGCGCAGGCGGCAGAGCAAGUCGAGUGUGAAAGCCCCGGGCUUAACUUGGGAAUUGCGCUCGAAACUACUUUGCUGGAGUGUGGCAGAGGAAGGUGGAAUUCCACGUGUAGCGGUGAAAUGCGUAGAGAUGUGGAGGAACACCAAUGGCGAAGGCAGAUCUCUGGGCCGUAACUGACGCUGAGGAGCGAAAGCGUGGGGAGCGAACAGG